Molecule: long non-coding RNA, 255 nt
Filed under: Nicotiana benthamiana
Lineage: Eukaryota; Viridiplantae; Streptophyta; Magnoliopsida; Solanales; Solanaceae
Description: long non-coding RNA (NBEN_LNC014119)
Source: RNAcentral
UGCUCGUGUCCGAUGAGAAGAGAAUAGUAGUACUUAUAGCUUUUGAAAAUAGUAAAGAAUAAGGUAGGAAGUGUAUAAUUAUAGAAGCAAUAUCAAAUUAAAUCAAUCAUAGGUCAUAAUUCAAAUAAAUUAGGGACUCAAAAUUCGAAUGAGAAUAUAGGCUAUCAAAUAAGGAAAAAGUCAGUUUAAUGAUUGACUAUACCAUAACGAAAGCAAUAGGCAUGCUGUACAUAAUAAAGGCUAGGUACACAACAU